AUUGAACGCUGGCGGCAUGCCUUACACAUGCAAGUCGAACGGCAGCACGGGUGCUUGCACCUGGUGGCGAGUGGCGAACGGGUGAGUAAUACAUCGGAACAUGUCCUGUAGUGGGGGAUAGCCCGGCGAAAGCCGGAUUAAUACCGCAUACGAUCUACGGGUGAAAGCGGGGGACCUUCGGGCCUCGCGCUAUAGGGUUGGCCGAUGGCUGAUUAGCUAGUUGGUGGGGUAAAGGCCUACCAAGGCGACGAUCAGUAGCUGGUCUGAGAGGACGACCAGCCACACUGGGACUGAGACACGGCCCAGACUCCUACGGGAGGCAGCAGUGGGGAAUUUUGGACAAAGGGCGAAAGCCUGAUCCAGCAAUGCCGCGUGUGUGAAGAAGGCCUUCGGGUUGUAAAGCACUUUUGUCCGGAAAGAAAUACUUGGCCCUAAUACGGGCGGGGGAUGACGGUACCGGAAGAAUAAGCACCGGCUAACUACGUG
Molecule: ribosomal RNA, 486 nt
Filed under: uncultured bacterium
Lineage: Bacteria
Description: partial 16S ribosomal RNA
Rfam family: Bacterial small subunit ribosomal RNA
Source: RNAcentral